RNAcentral lists this ribosomal RNA (250 nucleotides) under uncultured bacterium. RNAcentral describes it as "partial 16S ribosomal RNA". It matches the Rfam family "Bacterial small subunit ribosomal RNA", at positions 524 to 773 of the family's 1533-position model. The record is from RNAcentral.
UACGGGGGGGGCAAGCGUUGUUCGGAAUUACUGGGCGUAAAGGGCUCGUAGGCGGCUGCCUAAGUCGGACGUGAAAUCCCAUGGCUUAACCAUGGAACUGCGUCCGGUACUGGGCAGCUUGAAUCCAAGAGAGGGAUGCGGAAUUCCAGGUGUAGCGGUGAAAUGCGUAGAUAUCUGGAGGAACACCGGUGGCGAAGGCGGCAUCCUGGAUUGGUAUUGACGCUGAGGAGCGAAAGCCAGGGGAGCAAAC